AGCCACGCACUGAUCACGUAGCGAACUAUUUUUUCGCGUUUUACUAAAGAAUACUGCGUGCUUGCCUCAGAUGGUGGCAUAAGAUUUUAGCAAAAAAGAAUCUUAUGAGUUUAUUU
Small nuclear RNA from Ziziphus jujuba (common jujube), 116 nucleotides. RefSeq annotates it as U5 spliceosomal RNA. The transcript has a single exon. NCBI's taxonomy places the organism in Eukaryota, Viridiplantae, Streptophyta, Magnoliopsida, Rosales, Rhamnaceae. The record is from RefSeq and is a predicted model, not a curated record.